Molecule: long non-coding RNA, 824 nt
Organism: Drosophila santomea
Lineage: Eukaryota; Metazoa; Arthropoda; Insecta; Diptera; Drosophilidae
Exons: 4
Source: RefSeq, a predicted model, not a curated record
UUUGACCUUUUGCCGGGCCGGCAGCGCCACACCCAGAAUUCAGAAGGGCGAGGGGGCAUACCGACUUGGAAACGGCAUCAAAACAUUAUACGUUUUUAAUGUUUUAGGUGCCAAAACAUCGUUUUCCGUUGCGCUGAGACGGGAGGGAUGUUUACAGUAUACUGUUGCUGCCAGGAAAAAAGUCGAAUUUAGGGGUCAUGCUUUUGACCUUUUGCCAGGCCAGCAGCGCCGCGCUUAGGAUUCAGAAGGAAGAGGGGGCAUCCUAGCAUGGAAAUGGCAUCAAAAAAUUAUGCGUUUUUAAUGUUUUAGUUGUCAAAAACUUCGUUUUUCGAUUUCGUCUAGCAGGGAUAUUGUCAGUGUUCUCGUUGCUGUCGGAAAAAGGUCGAAUUCAAGGGUCAUGAUUUUGACCUUUUGCCGGGUCGGCAGUGCCUCACCCAGAAUUCAGGAGGACGAGGGGGCAUUCCAACAUGGAAACGGCAUCAAAACAUUAUACGUUUUUAAUGUUUUAGGUGCCAAUAACAUCAUUUUUCGUUGCGUCAAGUCGGGAAGUAGUAAUUUGCGUGGUUUUACGCUUUUAUUAAUUUAUUUUGUUCUUUUUCAAGGAUGUUUUCAGUAUACUGUUAUUUCCAGGAAAAAAGACGAAUCCAAGGGUCACGCUUUUGACCUUUUGCCAGGUCAGCAGCGCCGCGCUUAGGAUUCAGAAGGACGAAUGGGCAUCCCAGCAAGGAAAUGGCAUCAAAACAUUAUGCGCUUUUAGUGUUUUAGUUUCCAAAACUUCGUUUUCCGUUGCGUCUAGUAGGGAUAUUAUAAUUGCUACCGGGAAA